RNAcentral lists this ribosomal RNA (254 nucleotides) under uncultured bacterium. RNAcentral describes it as "partial 16S ribosomal RNA". It matches the Rfam family "Bacterial small subunit ribosomal RNA", at positions 524 to 776 of the family's 1533-position model. The record is from RNAcentral.
UACGGAGGGGGCAAGCGUUGUUCGGAAUUACUGGGCGUAAAGGGCGCGCAGGCGGCUGCUCAAGUCAGGCGUGAAAGGCCUGGGCUCAACCCGGGAAUUGCGCUUGAGACUGGGCUGGCUUGAGUGCGGGAGAGGAUGGUGGAAUUCCCAGUGUAGAGGUGAAAUUCGUAGAUAUUGGGAAGAACACCGGUGGCGAAGGCGGCCAUCUGGACCGCAACUGACGCUGAGGAGCGAAAGCGUGGGGAGCAAACGGG